CAAUUGCUCUAUCGCUCUUCUGGCCCAAUCUGCUACGUCGGAUGCACAAUGGGCCGCAAACCCGAGGGUUUGAGAUGUGCAACCACAAUCUUCUCACCUACCCCACCAUCAUCGGCAUCCUCACCCGGGCCCGCCUCAAGGCCCUUGCCAGGCUUCAUUCGGGCCGCCAUUCGAAGAAGAUAACUUCGUAUCAAAGCCAGUGAAGGCGUUUGAGAGCCUUGUUAAGACGUGUAUAUGGUGUGGGUCUGCUCCUUGUGUUUGAUUUUGUUGGUUCAAGCUUGUUUGGAGAUUGCCAUUGAGAUUGUGAGAAUGUGAAGGUCAAGUGGGAUUAGCUUGAAAGGCUGAAAGUUAGUUCCUUGAAUUCUUUGAUUUCGUGGCUUUAGAGGUGUGGAGGUGGGUACGCCGGGUACGAGGUUUAUAGGGACUUUUUGGGUUAGUGUGCGAUGAAUUUGAGGGCAAUGCGAAAAGGGCUUUUACAGUUGGGCCAAUGUGCAUACUUUUAAUGCGUUAAUGGGGAAUUUUUAUCAGCUUGGUUUGGCUGAGAAGGUGGAGAUGAUUUGGAAUGAAAUGGGGGGAUUUGGUUGUGUUCCAAAUGGUCGUUGGUAUUAGCGUUUUGAUAGCAGCCUAUUGCGAGGAAGAGAGAGGAUGAUUGAGGCUGAGGAGUUGUGGAAGGAGAUGGAGGCUGAUGUUGUGGCUUAUAAUACUACUAGUGGUAAGGUUUUGUUAGAUUUGAGAGAUUGAGAAAGCUGAAGAAUUUUUCAGAGAAAUGGGAUUGAAUGGCGUGGGUGUUGGUUGUGUGACUUAUAAGCACCUUGACCAUGGGUAUCGUAGAGUUGGGUAACGUUGCAUGUGUAUUAAGGAUGUUUAUAGAAAGGGUUUUAGGCCAGAGGCUUCAACGUACGGUUGAGCUGGUGCUUCUGGACUGACUUUAGGGGUAGGGUUUAUGAAGCUUUGGAGAUUUUUGAGGGAUGGAGCAGAGAAUUUUGAUUUGAUACCAAAGGACACUAGCAAAAGGUAAGAGUUACGAGGUUUUGAUAAAGGGGUGUGAGAAGGGGAGGAUGGAGGACUUGAUUUGGUCAUUUCACGUGAUCAGCAAUUUUCCUGAUUCAGAGUUGGAAGAAUCAAGAUUCUAGUGACAAAAUCACAAGGAGGGGAGUAACCAGAGAUUGAAUAGAGCUGAAGCCAGAGACAGAAGCCAUGACAAGAAAGCCAUGGCAGCUGAUAUCUGAUAUCUGCUGCAAAACUUUGGUGGGCAAUAUGCCCCAUUAUUACACUGGAGGAGAAAGUCCACAACACUAACUGUUGAGCAAGCUGCAGCCAGUGUGAGAACGGAUAAUACCUGUUAUGAGAUAUAACGAGUUAGUAUCAAAUUGUAACCUAGUUUCUAUCUUAUGAGACCUCGCAAAUUAUUCAAAUGCUGCAUACCCAAUCUCCUACGAUAAUGAUCAGCAGUAUACCCGGCUGCCGGAUAGAGCAUUUAACCAGAACAGCGUAUCCAUCCACCAGGGCUAAAGUGAAACUCCAGGGUAUAACCAAACCCAUGAUUGUUACCAAGUAGCUGUAACAUUUGUAUAUCAUAUGAAGAUUCAAAUUAGUAAUUACAUAAGAAACAGCAAGAAAUUGGUAGUAUACUGUUCCAAAAUGUAUUCCUAUGUUCUUGCUCAUCAUCGUUCAGAGCUGGAAAAAAAUAUGCUGCUAUCUGCUAUCCCGGAAGACUCUUUAAAGGA
Long non-coding RNA from Carya illinoinensis, 1727 nucleotides. RefSeq lists it as uncharacterized. Lineage: Eukaryota; Viridiplantae; Streptophyta; Magnoliopsida; Fagales; Juglandaceae. The transcript is spliced from 2 exons. The record is from RefSeq and is a predicted model, not a curated record.